RNAcentral lists this ribosomal RNA (667 nucleotides) under Bacillus altitudinis. RNAcentral describes it as "bacterial SSU rRNA". It matches the Rfam family "Bacterial small subunit ribosomal RNA", at positions 636 to 1303 of the family's 1533-position model. Lineage: Bacteria; Bacillati; Bacillota; Bacilli; Caryophanales; Bacillaceae. The record is from RNAcentral.
GGAAACUUGAGUGCAGAAGAGGAGAGUGGAAUUCCACGUGUAGCGGUGAAAUGCGUAGAGAUGUGGAGGAACACCAGUGGCGAAGGCGACUCUCUGGUCUGUAACUGACGCUGAGGAGCGAAAGCGUGGGGAGCGAACAGGAUUAGAUACCCUGGUAGUCCACGCCGUAAACGAUGAGUGCUAAGUGUUAGGGGGUUUCCGCCCCUUAGUGCUGCAGCUAACGCAUUAAGCACUCCGCCUGGGGAGUACGGUCGCAAGACUGAAACUCAAAGGAAUUGACGGGGGCCCGCACAAGCGGUGGAGCAUGUGGUUUAAUUCGAAGCAACGCGAAGAACCUUACCAGGUCUUGACAUCCUCUGACAACCCUAGAGAUAGGGCUUUCCCUUCGGGGACAGAGUGACAGGUGGUGCAUGGUUGUCGUCAGCUCGUGUCGUGAGAUGUUGGGUUAAGUCCCGCAACGAGCGCAACCCUUGAUCUUAGUUGCCAGCAUUCAGUUGGGCACUCUAAGGUGACUGCCGGUGACAAACCGGAGGAAGGUGGGGAUGACGUCAAAUCAUCAUGCCCCUUAUGACCUGGGCUACACACGUGCUACAAUGGACAGAACAAAGGGCUGCGAGACCGCAAGGUUUAGCCAAUCCCACAAAUCUGUUCUCAGUUCGGAUCGCAG